Molecule: long non-coding RNA, 2400 nt
Filed under: Mus musculus (house mouse)
Lineage: Eukaryota; Metazoa; Chordata; Mammalia; Rodentia; Muridae
Description: long non-coding RNA chr9:59791957-59794357
Source: RNAcentral
GAAACCCUGUCUCGAAAAACCAAAAAAAAAAAAAAAAAAAGAAAGAUGGCUUAGAGGUAGCACUUUUUUUUUUUUUUUUAAGAUUUAUUUAUUUAUUUAUUACAUGUAAGUACACUGUAGCUGUCUUCAGACACUCCAGAAGAGGGCGUCAGAUCUCGUUACAGAUGGUUGUGAACCACCAUGUGGUUGCUGGGAUUUGAACUCUGGACCUUUGGAAGAGCAGUCGGGUGCUCUUACCCACUGAGCCAUCUCACCAGCCCGAGGUAGCACUUUUUGCUACUGCAGAGGACCAUGACUUAGUUCCUAGCACCCAUGUUUGACACCCGUUACUCAAGUUUCAGGGAUCCUGUGGCCUCUCUUAGUCUCUGAAGGCACCUAAAUUCAUGUGUAUAUACUUACACAUAGACACAUGGACAUUACACAGAAAUAAAAAAUUUUUAAAAAUGUAUUUAUUUAUUUAUUGUAUAUGAGUACAUUGUUACUGUCUUCAGACACACCAGAAGAGGGCAUCAAAUCUCAUUACAGAUGGUUGUGAGCCACCAUGUGGUUGCUAGGAUUUGAACUCGGGACCUCUGGAAAAAGUCAGUGCUGUUAACCACUGAGACAUCUUUCCAGCUCCAGAAAUAAAAAUCUUAAACGAUUAUCAUAGGUUUUAAACUGAGUUAUAGGAAGGCAUAUGUGGUAGAAAAUGGCUAUGUGUAACUGUGUUCUAUUUUAUAUAAGUACAAAUUUGAAACCAUAAAGUGAUGACAAAAAUGCCUUUCUUUCCUUCUUUCUGUCUUUCUUUCUUCCUUUCUUUUUUUCUAAGUCACUUAUAAAGGCUAAAAGCAUAGAUAACAUCUAGCUAUACUUAUUAACUAAUGAAUUAGGUUUUAAAAUUACUCUUCCCAUAAACAUAGCAUGUCUUAAUCUUUGCUUUCUCAUUGCAUGUCAUUGUAAACAAUACUAAUUGCAAAGUUUGCCUAUGCCACUUGUGAAACAUCAGCAUGUGUAGGUGCUAGGUUUUUCCUCCAGACAAAGUAUACUUUCAUCACCAUUUCAAGAAUCAUUUCAUUACAUAAUCAAGAAUGUAUUGGUUUUGGAUUUAAUAGUUCUGGAAAUAGAUAUCUCAGUUUAUAUAUUAUUGAUGAAUUAUAAUAUAAAAAGUAUAAUUUAUUUUACUCCCAAGAAGCUCUUCUGGUCUAUAUUUCAUUUAUCACACCAAGUGAAUCAUGCCUCUUUGGAAAGCAGGUAGGCCACUGCAAACUCUCUGCAAAUAUGAUUGAUUACUUGUACAUACUUUGCUAUGGAACUGUAGAUUGGUCUGCAUUUGUCUGAAAUUAAAGUGCUGCUUAAGAAUAUGAUGUGAGAAUACUAGCUCAUCCACUUACUGAUAUUGAGACCCUCAGAAGGUCACUUAAUUUUUUUCUUUGCUUUUUUUUUUUAGUUAAUCCUUUUAUUCUUGCCUUCUAUUUCAGAGAACAGUGGUCUUUGAUCAUCUCAGCAUGUAUGUGUUCUUUGCACUUUGGGUUAUAUUAUAUAGCAAGACUUUGUCUCAGAAAGACCAAAAAGUCACAGACCUGUAAUCUAGCACUCAGGAAGGCUGAGGCAGGAAUGUCAAGUUUAGACUAGCCUAUGCUACUUAACAAAUAUGAGGCCAGCUUGAACUAAAUAGUGAAAUUUUCUAAAAACAAAAACCAAUAACAACAACAACAAUAACAAAAUAAACAAAAAUCAAGCAAAGAAAAAAAAUCUUCAAAAAUGGUCUUCAGAAUUUGUAUUAAAUUUGAUAAUAGGUAUGAAGAAUUUGCUAGAGAACUGAACACUGAAGUGCUAGGGAAAAAUGUCACUUCUAUAGUUGCUGCCAUCAUUGGAAUCAGAGUACAUCUUUUUUAUUUAAAGGAAUUUUGUAGCUAUAAUUUACACGUGUGUGCAUGUGCGCCCUCAUGUGUGCCUGUUUGUUUUUUUUUUUUUUCUAUUUGUUUAGGUAUACAUAUGUAGAAGGUAGAGAACAAUUUUGUUGUUCUCAGCUGUUUUCCACAUCUAUUUGUCUGUUUAUUUUAAGACCUUGCCUUUCACUGGCCUGCAACUUGUAAGUAGGCUAGAGUGGCUAGCCAGCAAGACCCACCCAUCGCCACCUUCAUAGUGACACUUGCUACCAUGUCCAGCUUUGAAAAAUGUGGCCCCUAGAGAUUAAACUCAAGCUUGAAGAGCAAGUAUUUUACCUAAUGGAAUACUACCCCAGCCUAUAAUUUCCUGUUCUUAAUACUCCUUUCAGCACAGUUAGUCCUGUUUAUUAUACUUUUCAAAUAGCUAGAGCUCGACUUUGAUUGCCUCUCUAUUUAGUCCUGGCUGUCUUAGGACUUGGUAGGUAAUGUAAUUUUUAAAAGUUUUUUCUAAAAUUAAAAAAAAAAAAAGAGU